CCGCUGGAACUUAAGCAUAUCAAUAAGCGGAGGAAAAGAAACCAACAGGGAUUGCCUCAGUAACGGCGAGUGAAGCGGCAACAGCUCAAAUUUGAAAUCUGGCUCUUUCAGGGUCCGAGUUGUAAUUUGUAGAAGAUGCUUUGGGUGUAGCUCCGGUCUAAGUUCCUUGGAACAGGACGUCAUAGAGGGUGAGAAUCCCGUACGUGACUGGGUGCUUUCGCUCGUGUAAAGCUCUUUCGACGAGUCGAGUUGUUUGGGAAUGCAGCUCAAAAUGGGUGGUAAAUUUCAUCUAAAGCUAAAUAUUGGCCAGAGACCGAUAGCGCACAAGUAGAGUGAUCGAAAGAUGAAAAGCACUUUGGAAAGAGAGUUAAACAGUACGUGAAAUUGUUGAAAGGGAAGCGCUUGCAACCAGACUUGCACGCUGUUGAUCAUCCGAGGUUUUUCCCCGGUGCACUCGGCAGCGUUCAGGCCAGCAUCGGUUUUGGUGGGCGGAUAAAGGCCUUGGGAAUGUAGCUUCUUUCGGGGAGUGUUAUAGCCCUCGGUGCAAUGCGCCCUACCGGGACCGAGGACCGCGCUUCGGCUAGGAUGCUGGCGUAAUGGUUGUAAGCGACCCGUCUGAAAACACGGA
RNAcentral lists this ribosomal RNA (628 nucleotides) under Hyaloscypha sp. RNAcentral describes it as "partial large subunit ribosomal RNA". It matches the Rfam family "Eukaryotic large subunit ribosomal RNA", at positions 25 to 665 of the family's 3401-position model. Lineage: Eukaryota; Fungi; Ascomycota; Leotiomycetes; Helotiales; Hyaloscyphaceae. The record is from RNAcentral.